This 419-nucleotide ribosomal RNA is filed under the name uncultured bacterium. RNAcentral describes it as "bacterial SSU rRNA". It matches the Rfam family "Bacterial small subunit ribosomal RNA", at positions 30 to 450 of the family's 1533-position model. The record is from RNAcentral.
AUUGAACGCUGGCGGCAUGCCUUACACAUGCAAGUCGAACGGUAACAGCACUUCGGUGGCUGACGAGUGGCGAACGGGUGAGUAAUACAUCGGAACGUGCCCGAGAGUGGGGGAUAACGCAGCGAAAGCUGUGCUAAUACCGCAUACGAUCUACGGAUGAAAGCAGGGGAUUCGCAAGGACCUUGCGCUCAUGGAGCGGCCGAUGGCAGAUUAGGUAGUUGGUGGGAUAAAAGCUUACCAAGCCGACGAUCUGUAGCUGGUCUGAGAGGAUGAUCCGCCACACUGGGACUGAGACACGGCCCAGACUCCUACGGGAGGCAGCAGUGGGGAAUUUUGGACAAUGGGCGAAAGCCUGAUCCAGCCAUGCCGCGUGAGUGAAGAAGGCCUCGGUUGUAAGACGUCUUUCUAGACGGAAGAAA